RNAcentral lists this RNase P RNA (383 nucleotides) under Streptomonospora salina. Its description in RNAcentral is "RNase P RNA component class A". It matches the Rfam family "Bacterial RNase P class A". Rfam says of the family: Ribonuclease P (RNase P) is a ubiquitous endoribonuclease, found in archaea, bacteria and eukarya as well as chloroplasts and mitochondria. Its best characterised activity is the generation of mature 5'-ends of tRNAs by cleaving the 5'-leader elements of precursor-tRNAs. The record is from RNAcentral. Lineage: Bacteria; Bacillati; Actinomycetota; Actinomycetes; Streptosporangiales; Nocardiopsidaceae.
GGAGUCGGCCAGGCGGCCGCGGCGCCGUUUCGCGGUGUCGAGGAAAGUCCGGACUCCACAGGGCAGGGUGGUCGGUAACACCGACCCGGGGCGACCCGCGGGAAAGUGCCACAGAGAACAAACCGCCACCGCGUGCGGUGGUAAGGGUGAAACGGUGGUGUAAGAGACCACCAGCGGCCGGAGCGAUCCGGUCGGCUCGGUAAACCCCACCCGGAGCAAGGUCAAGACGGGGGCGCGUGCGCCCCCAGCGCGGACGUUCGAGGGCUGCCCGCCCGAGGUUCGCGGGUAGACCGCACCGAGGCCGCCGGCAACGGCGGUCCCAGACGGAUGGCCGUCCGGUCCGCGAGGACCGACAGAAUCCGGCUUAUCGGCCGACUCCCUCU